Acanthosepion pharaonis is the source of this 102-nucleotide non-coding RNA. The record is from the annotation of a GenBank genome assembly. NCBI's taxonomy places the organism in Eukaryota, Metazoa, Mollusca, Cephalopoda, Sepiida, Sepiidae.
UAUGGCCAUAUCAAAUUGAAACACCGAUCAGCAAAGUUAAGCAAGGCUGAGCCUGUUCCGUACUAAGAUGGGUGUCUGCUUGGGAAUACCAGGUGCUGUAAG